RNAcentral lists this ribosomal RNA (406 nucleotides) under uncultured bacterium. Its description in RNAcentral is "partial 16S ribosomal RNA". It matches the Rfam family "Bacterial small subunit ribosomal RNA", at positions 30 to 526 of the family's 1533-position model. The record is from RNAcentral.
AUUGAACGCUAGCGGGAUGCCUUACACAUGCAAGUCGAACGGAGUGGCGAACGGGUGAGUAAUGUAUCGGAACGUGCCCAGUAGCGGGGGAUAACUACGCGAAAGCGUAGCUAAUACCGCAUACUAUUGGAGCGGCCGAUAUCGGAUUAGCUAGUUGGUGGGGUAACGGCUCACCAGGGCGCCGACCCGGGGCGGGUUUGAGAGGACGACAAGCCAAAUGGGGACUGGGACACGGCCCAGACGCCUACGGGAGGCAGCAGUGGGGAAUUUUGGACAAUGGGGGAAACCCUGAGCCAGCCAUCCCGCGUGUGCGAUGAAGGCCUUCGGGUUGUAAAGCACUUUUGGCAGGAAAGCGGUACCUGCAGAAUAAGCACCGGCUAACUACGUGCCAGCAGCCGCGUAAUUC